GGGGGCGACCUGGUUUCGACGUGGGUUGCAAAACCAGAGUUGCAUGCCGAGAAUGAGAACUCUCGUAAAUCAGACUCAAAUAAAUAUAAAUGCAAACGAUGAAAACUUCGCUGGCGAGGCUAUUGCUGCUUAAUUAGGGCUUUAGUUUUACAGCAACGUGUACUGGCCUAAACCCCGGUGCCCCGUUCGACCGAGCUCGCUUAUCGGUAUCGAAUCAACGGUCAUUAGAGAUAAGCUAGCAUCCUGAUUAAUCCCGAGUUGAGAUGCGAAAUUCAGGGAAUCGCUGUGUACCAUCCUGCCUGUCGGAGAGUCCAUAGUUAAAUCAAAAGACAAGGCUACGCAUGUAGAGCUGAAGGCAGAGGAUUUGCGGACGCGGGUUCGAUUCCCGCCGCCUCCACCA
RNAcentral lists this transfer-messenger RNA (400 nucleotides) under bacterium. It matches the Rfam family "transfer-messenger RNA". Rfam says of the family: Bacterial tmRNA, also known as 10Sa RNA or SsrA, is named for its dual tRNA and mRNA-like properties. Its role is to liberate the mRNA from a stalled ribosome. To accomplish this part of the tmRNA is used as a reading frame that ends in a translation stop signal. The record is from RNAcentral.